Molecule: long non-coding RNA, 2058 nt
Organism: Heteronotia binoei (common prickly gecko)
Lineage: Eukaryota; Metazoa; Chordata; Lepidosauria; Squamata; Gekkonidae
Exons: 3
Source: RefSeq, a predicted model, not a curated record
AACAUCUGGAGAGCUAUCAUUGGCCACCCCUGACAUAGAUUGUUUAGAUCUAGCCUUGACAGGUUAGCUUCUAGAGUCAAAGCUAGAUGACAGCUUUUAAAUUAAAUCUUGUCAGCGAUUGGCUGACCAGUCAGCCAGCCUGGAUAAAAUCAGGCUAGGUGCCCACAAACGGAGGAGCUUCUACUUUUCCAAGCCAGAAGCCAGGAGUCUUCUCCAGGAGAUCUAGGAGACGGUAACAGCAAAACCAGAGAAUCAGUUACGUUUCAAGUUCAGGAAUGCAGCACCAGAGGUAGUGGAGACCUUGACUGCUUAUAUGGCAAGAUAAAUGAGGACUGCUGACCAGUGGAUACAGGCUGCAGAGUUGUUUCCAGAAGGUGGUGCGUCAUCCAGAGUUGUUGGGAGCAAGAUCCAAGGCGUUCCAGGAACCGGCUGCUUGCAGAGAUGGAGAAACAUCAGCAAUGAGGGCUGGAACUGCCUUUGCCAUGAACAGGUUGGAGAUACUAGAUGCAAAUCAGUUCAUCUCCAAGGAACAACAGCAAUGGGUGGACAAACUCCAGUUGGAACCAGUCAUUAUCAACUAAGAAAUGACUGCCAUGUGCACAAAAGAUACGGGAGCAGAUUUAAGUUCCAUCAGAAAGACUCUUUUAGAGGGCAAGAACCUCCAUUAUGAAGGUCUAAUGUGUGUGGACCCUUAUGAGUGUUCCUCUAAAUUGAUACCUAUUGUGAAAGUCCAUGUAAAGUUUAGAGAUUACGAAGGGGAACAGAUAAUGUUAGCCCAUGAAAAAUCUGAAUAUGAUUUUGUGAUUGGGGCAGACCUAUUGUAUAAAGUUGUAUGCUCAAGGACAGAACAGGAUCGAUCACAUGUUCAGGAACCCCCAGAUAGAACCAGAAGGGUGGAGUUACCAGAGGUAUGGGCCAUGGACAGCACAGCAGAAGUAAUGUUCCAGAGGGAGAGAAAACAGAAAUCUCCUCAUGAGUCAUUGUUUAACAUGAUUUCACAAUGUGAGGGUGUGGUUAAAGAAUGUAGUCAAUCAGAGGCAGGAAGAGUCCUUAAUUCCAAGGCUUAUUUAUUAUUUGUUCGAUUUAUAUCCCGACCUACCCCACCAAAGCGGGCUCAGGGCGGCUUAUAGAGUAAAAGCUACUGAGUCACCAGUAAAGACAUCUGUGAGGUUUAAUCAAGUGGUAACUCGUUCUAAGCCAUAGGGCAUGAAGAAAUAGUAUUUUGUGACAUUGUAUGUGGGUAUGUAUUUGUUUAACACCUCAUGUUAAAUUUUCAUUGUGUCUGUAUGUUUUGGACACCUUAGUGGGUGCAUGUUUGUUUUUAAAUGUUAUGUAGUGUCCAGUUAUGUAUAGCAAUGUUAUAUGUUUGUAUUUUUAUGUCUUAAAGUUGCUAUGAUCAUAGCCUGAGGGCUAUAGAUCAAGCUUUUUAAGAGGGGGUGUGUCAAGAAACUGAGAGACACCUAAGUGUUAGUGUACGCAAUGUCUGUAUGUUUAUAAGUGUUUCAGGAUUUGCACCAAUAGUAUGUCAAAGCUAAUAGGCACUUAAGUAGUCCCAGGUGGAGACUAACUGGAUACACCUGUGAAGUCAGCCCACAAAUGACAUAGAUUGUUUAGAUCUAGCCUUGACAGGCUACCAUCUAGAGUCAAGGCUAGAUGACAGCUUUUAAAUUAGAUCUUGUCAGUGAUUGACUGACCAGUCAGCCAGCCUGGAUAAAAUCAGGCUAGGUGCCCACAAAAGGAGGAGCUUCCACUUUUCCAAGCCAGGAGUCUUCUCCAGGAGAUCUAGAAGGUAACAGCACAACCAGGUGAAUGAGGACGGACUUUGGAAGAUGUCUCUCUAGUGUUGUGGGCCUGGCAGCAGAAAAGCAUCAGUGAGUAUUAGACUAAGGAAUUAGCCAACUACUACACAGUCCAGUGUAGGGAGAUAGGCAAAUUGCCUUGAGGUUUUGUCUAAGUGUUCCUUUGUGCACAGUAUGUUUUAUUAGUUUUUAUCAUCCCAUUUUGUGUUUCCCCUUCCCCUUUAUCUUGUAAAUAAAGUUUAUAUAUUUUUUUCUAUAA